Molecule: transfer RNA, 70 nt
Filed under: Sphenodon punctatus (tuatara)
Lineage: Eukaryota; Metazoa; Chordata; Lepidosauria; Sphenodontia; Sphenodontidae
Description: tRNA-Gln
Rfam family: tRNA
About the family: Transfer RNA (tRNA) molecules are approximately 80 nucleotides in length. Their secondary structure includes four short double-helical elements and three loops (D, anti-codon, and T loops).
Source: RNAcentral
UAGAAAACAGUAUGAUGGGGUACAUGGAGUUUUGGUCUCUAAUGUUUGGGUUCGAUUCCCAUUUUUCUAG